This is a long non-coding RNA of Balaenoptera musculus (blue whale), 98 nucleotides long. RefSeq lists it as uncharacterized. The transcript has 3 exons. Lineage: Eukaryota; Metazoa; Chordata; Mammalia; Artiodactyla; Balaenopteridae. The record is from RefSeq and is a predicted model, not a curated record.
GAUUGAGGGGGAUGAGGGUGAGGCUUGAGAGUCUGCAUUUCUCACAAGCUCCCAGGCAAUGCAGACGCUGCUGGUCCACGGACCACACUUCUGAGCAG